RNAcentral lists this unclassified non-coding RNA (377 nucleotides) under fungal sp. RNAcentral describes it as "partial internal transcribed spacer region". The stretch from base 1 to 46 matches the Rfam family "Eukaryotic small subunit ribosomal RNA", at positions 1786 to 1831 of the family's 1831-position model. Lineage: Eukaryota; Fungi. The record is from RNAcentral.
AAGUCGUAACAAGGUUUCCGUAGGUGAACCUGCGGAAGGAUCAUUAACACGUAUCCACGUAUCAACCCCUUUGUGCUUUUCCGUUUCUUAUAACCCUGUCUUGAACCGCUGAUCCUGAGGCUUCACCGCAUAGAACGUUGAAUGGUUUUGGGCGAAAGCUCAAAGUUCUUGGUGUCGCUGUUGCACUCCGGUGCAUCGGAUUGGUUGGCUCUACCGUACAGGUUACAAAUGUUAACCAUUCGGCAUUGCCCCAUUAAUACUAAAACCCCUUUAAAAAUCUUGCUAACUUAAUUUGAUUUUUGUUUUUGUCUUCGGACGAAACGAAUUCAAUAUUACGAAAUGCUUGACAACUCUUAGCAACGGAUAUCUUGGUUCUC